GAUGAACGCUAGCGGCAGGCUUAACACAUGCAAGUCGAGGGGCAGCAUAAUGGAUAGCUAUAUCUAUGGUGGCGACCGGCGCACGGGUGCGUAACGCGUAUGCAACCUACCUUUAACAGGGGGAUAACACUGAGAAAUUGGUACUAAUACCCCAUAAUAUCAUAGAAGGCAUCUUUUAUGGUUGAAAAUUCCUAUGGUUAGAGAUGGGCAUGCGUUGUAUUAUCUAGUUGGUGGGGUAACGGCUCACCAAGGCGACGAUACAUAGGGGGACGGAGAGGUUGACCCCCCAGAAGGGGACUGAGACAAGGACCAGACUCCUACGGGAGGGAGUAGUGAGGAAUACAGAGCAAUGGACGCUAGCCUGAACCAGCCAUGCCGGGUGCAGGAUGACGGCUCUCGGAGUUGUAAACUGCUUGUGGACGAGGGUAAACGCAGAUACGUGUAUCUGUCUGACAGUAUCGUAUGAAUAAGCAUCGGCUAACUACGUG
Molecule: ribosomal RNA, 488 nt
Filed under: uncultured bacterium
Lineage: Bacteria
Description: partial 16S ribosomal RNA
Rfam family: Bacterial small subunit ribosomal RNA
Source: RNAcentral